Molecule: long non-coding RNA, 793 nt
Filed under: Equus caballus (horse)
Lineage: Eukaryota; Metazoa; Chordata; Mammalia; Perissodactyla; Equidae
Description: lncRNA (ENSECAG00000032109.3)
Source: RNAcentral
CGGAAAACUUGAGACUCUGGAACUGUUGGUGCCCUGUGACAGGAAGCCACACACAGACAAAUUUCCAGGCCUGCGCACGAAGAUUCCCGUUUACCCACCACUGAAGCUGAGGGACGUUGGCUCCAGGUCCUGCAGCAGUGCAGCACCAAGGUCACCAGACUCACAGCAGAGGUUGAUGGUCAGACACCCCCAGGGAAGCCUCCAGACGACCACCCACCUUGAACUCCUGCGUUCCGGGAACUUUACCUCCCUGCUUCUCCCAGUGUGCAGGUGGGUCAGCGGGGUCAGACCAGAGUCCGGAGAGAAGGGCCAGGCAGCAGACUUGGAAAACUGGGCGCUGGGGUAGGCAGCAGGACGGGGAGGCCACAGCCUGGCUCAGCCACCAACUCUCACAUGGCCCUCUCUGAACCUCGGUCUCUUCUAUAAAAUGAGAGAAAAGAGCCGGCUAACCAUGGAGGUUUGGGGGCACAAAAGAAGAACAUAUCACGUAUCAACAGGGAAAUCGAUGCCAGUGCAUCACAGGAGCUGAGAAGGGUAAGACCACGGAUCCUAGCCUGGGGUGCCGAUCCCAACCUCUGCCCGGCUCUGAAGAUGGCAGGCCCCGCCCUGGCUCCUCUCCACCAGGCCCUUCUCCAGACGCCACCCCUCAAGCAAGAAGAUAAUGUGUUUUAUCGGGGGCAUUUAUUACCCACAAUUGCUACAUAAAUCUCCCUGCAUACACAUACAUAUACAUAAGAGGCGGAUAAAUAUGCGGGGCCGUGCCCACUCUCCCUGAUGGAGUCGACUUGCCCCG